This 521-nucleotide ribosomal RNA is filed under the name Limosilactobacillus fermentum. RNAcentral's name for it is "bacterial SSU rRNA". It matches the Rfam family "Bacterial small subunit ribosomal RNA", at positions 8 to 485 of the family's 1533-position model. The record is from RNAcentral. Lineage: Bacteria; Bacillati; Bacillota; Bacilli; Lactobacillales; Lactobacillaceae.
AGAGUUUGAUCCUGGCUCAGGAUGAACGCCGGCGGUGUGCCUAAUACAUGCAAGUCGAACGCGUUGGCCCAAUUGAUUGAUGGUGCUUGCACCUGAUUGAUUUUGGUCGCCAACGAGUGGCGGACGGGUGAGUAACACGUAGGUAACCUGCCCAGAAGCGGGGGACAACAUUUGGAAACAGAUGCUAAUACCGCAUAACAACGUUGUUCGCAUGAACAACGCUUAAAAGAUGGCUUCUCGCUAUCACUUCUGGAUGGACCUGCGGUGCAUUAGCUUGUUGGUGGGGUAACGGCCUACCAAGGCGAUGAUGCAUAGCCGAGUUGAGAGACUGAUCGGCCACAAUGGGACUGAGACACGGCCCAUACUCCUACGGGAGGCAGCAGUAGGGAAUCUUCCACAAUGGGCGCAAGCCUGAUGGAGCAACACCGCGUGAGUGAAGAAGGGUUUCGGCUCGUAAAGCUCUGUUGUUAAAGAAGAACACGUAUGAGAGUAACUGUUCAUACGUUGACGGUAUUUAACCA